AGCUUUGCACAGUGGCAGUAUUGUACCCAAUGAGGUUUAUCUGAGGCGUGAUUAUUGCUAAUUGAAAACCCA
This 72-nucleotide small nuclear RNA is filed under the name Felis catus (domestic cat). RNAcentral's name for it is "U4 spliceosomal RNA". It matches the Rfam family "U4 spliceosomal RNA", at positions 1 to 72 of the family's 138-position model. Rfam says of the family: U4 small nuclear RNA (U4 snRNA) is a component of the major U2-dependent spliceosome. The record is from Rfam by way of RNAcentral. Lineage: Eukaryota; Metazoa; Chordata; Mammalia; Carnivora; Felidae. RNAcentral also lists the same sequence under 1 other name.